GAAGGGGACAAUUAAGCUGAGUGGACACAAGGAAAGCCUGGGGUCACAAGGUUCCAUGGUUGUCAUCUGAGGCCCUUUGGAGACUUUACAUAACCUUCCUGUCAGCCUCUUCUCUGCAGAGAACACUCUACCUCCACAUUCAAGGUGUAACCAAUAUCUAAUGUUAAGCCACUAUCUUUUCUUCCCAAAAGAAGAGUAGCUGUCCCAGAAAGCAUUUGCAGUAGGAUUGCUGAUAAGAAGAUAGAUGUCAGAGUAUACUUCCUUCGUAGAUAUAAGCCUGCCUAGCUAGGUGGUGAAGGCUGCCUGGGAUGUUCCUGCUGCAGGACUUCAGUACAUCUUCCUUUCACUGUACCUGGAAACCCUGCUCUCACCUCUGGUGUAGCACUACUUUAAUGCUACUUGCAGACGUCUACUGCUGCUUUAUUCAGACCAAUCCUGUUUUCAGAACCUGAUUCCCAGGUUUUGGUCACUAAGAACUCUUUUAUUUUUUUAUUUAAAAAAUAUUUUAUUUUUGGGUAUCAGAUUAGGGGUUCUAGCCCACCAAAUCUUAAAAAGGAUACAAAAGUAUUUUAACAUGCC
This is a long non-coding RNA of Manis javanica (Malayan pangolin), 579 nucleotides long. RefSeq lists it as uncharacterized. NCBI's taxonomy places the organism in Eukaryota, Metazoa, Chordata, Mammalia, Pholidota, Manidae. The record is from RefSeq and is a predicted model, not a curated record.